CAUAAAUGUAAGACAUUCUUACAGAUAGUACUUGCAGCUUAAUGAUGUAAUUUUAUUGUUAUUAGAAGGA
This 70-nucleotide transfer RNA is filed under the name Sympetrum uniforme. RNAcentral describes it as "tRNA-Val". Lineage: Eukaryota; Metazoa; Arthropoda; Insecta; Odonata; Libellulidae. The record is from RNAcentral.